GAAGUUAUAGUAUAAGAUGGAGUAUGUUUUUUUUUCGUGAAAAAGGUUUUAACUUUA
This 57-nucleotide transfer RNA is filed under the name Syphacia obvelata. RNAcentral describes it as "tRNA-Glu". Lineage: Eukaryota; Metazoa; Nematoda; Chromadorea; Rhabditida; Oxyuridae. The record is from RNAcentral.